Long non-coding RNA from Oncorhynchus tshawytscha (Chinook salmon), 2254 nucleotides. RefSeq lists it as uncharacterized. The record is from RefSeq and is a predicted model, not a curated record. Lineage: Eukaryota; Metazoa; Chordata; Actinopteri; Salmoniformes; Salmonidae. The transcript has 3 exons.
GAAAUAAUAUUUGAAUGAUGAGAUCAAUCUCUGCUCCAGAACAUUUUCUGAAUAUCGCUAGCCUAUUGAUGAGGUACCUCUGGCCAUCAUUGCGUAGUCUCAACACACAGUCAAGUGAUUAAAACAGUCUGAACAGUUUAUUUGUCCUAAUGAUGAACCACUUUGUCUAUUUAGAUUACCUCCAGCCUUGCGCGAUACCUACUAAGCCAAGAAACACACCUUUGAUGCUGGGCCUGGUAUUCACAAACAACGAGGCGUUCCAUGUGAUAUUUCCCAACAUGAAGUACUGCGCGAGAGGUGCAGUCUUCCACACAGUAGACCACUGGGUCUUGUUCUGGUCCAGUUGGAGCGGCGCCUCGACCAGGUAACUCACCUCCUCGGUGAUGGAGAACACGAGAACGGUGUUCAGAACGAUGGGCAGGUAGCGUCACGUCUUCUCCACGCGAUCCCACAACCGACCAUCGAAGCUUAACCAUGUCAUGGUGCCUUCUCAGUCUUGUGUCCUCUAUGCUUCCUUUUGUGAUUUUAUCUAACAGGAUUAUAGCUGACAGGUGAAAGAAGGGGGACGUUUUUCACAGAUUUACACGUAUCAUGUUUGAGAUCUGAUGUUGACGUUAGCGAUUGAGUGAUUACGGACUAUUCUUACUCCUUUUACCAACAUGUAAACUGACUAUAACAUGUCUGUUGUCAUUAAGAAAGAUCGGUGUGUGGACAAGUGUUGAUGCCCCUUCAUUUCAAAGGAAGUGGAGCUGUCAGUGUAGCCAGUGUUACAUGAAAAUACGUCCCCCAUAUCUAUACGUAUCGCGGCCAUGUUCCGUGUGAAAUUACUAAAGGACUGUACUACAACAAAAUUGUAUUCCUCUCUGAUUAUAAUUAGUCCUGUGCAUUUGCAUUAAGAUAAACUCUCCUAAAUAUGAAAGUUAAUUAUUGACUAUUAGAUAUUCAAAUUACAUUACUUUAAUUUUAUGGAGGUUAUUCAUUAGUGUAACGUUAUUUCUUCCAUAUAUUUUCUUACUCAUAGAUGGUGAUGACAGCAAAGAUAGGUUUCCUCAAUUCAUCUGUGAUGACAGUGAGGUCCAUAUGACCCUUGUUCCUCCCCUUAAAAGAGAGCAAUUACAACCAACCCUUAAACCAUGUUAAUCCCAGGCUGUGCUUGUGAGCCUUUAAUUUCAAAAGUUUUGUGGUCCCUGUCAUGCCCAUAGUGAAAGAGAAAUUAUGUCUACCUGGUAUAUGGACGGUGUCGGGGAAAACCGAGGUGGUUAUACAAAGCAGGGACCAGAACUUCUGCUACAGAGUGAGAUGAAGCUGCAGAGUAACCUUGUGGAGAGAGAAGAGCAGCGAUCUGGCACAUGAGCUGGACAUCAAACCAGUGCAUCUGUCAAGUGGACAUGGACUGAGCAGCAGAACCCUGAAGGGGUAUUCAUGGUCUGUAGAUCCCGUUACAGAUGAGGAUGAUGAUAUUGAAAGUCUUCUUGCUCCACAAGCAAAGUAAAGACAGCGUCAGCAGCAGGGAGAGGAGGAAGAGGAGGGAGGGAGGAAGAGCAGGGCAUAGCGCAACAGACAGGUCCUCUGCAGGAUCCGGGGAGGUGGUUAUUGCUGAGGCUUCAGUAUCUUCUGCCUCUGUGGUACAAAGCUAAGAGAAUGAUGGGACAUCGGAGGCAAAGAGCAAGACAAACAGUAGGAGUCCCUGAGUCAUAGGGAGGGGUUGGUGAGUCAAAUGGAGGAAUCAAGUCAAAUCAGGAAUCAUGGAGUCAUAGGGCAUAGACAAUGAGUCAAAAGAGGGAGUCAAUAAGUCAAAUUGAGUCAGGGAGUCAUAGGGAGGAAGUAGCCAGAGAGAAAGAAGUAAGAGAGAAUGACAUGGAGGCCACAGAAGGAGAAGAGGAGAGUCUGGUCUGACUCACUGUGAAGGAGGGAGCAACAGGAGAAUAGGAGAGUCUGGUCUGACUCAGUAUGGAGGAGGGAGCAAAAGGAGAAGAGGAGAGUCUGGUCUGACUCGGUAUGGAGGAGGGAGCAACAGAAGAAUAGGAGAGUCUGGUCUGACUCAGUAUGGAGGAGGGAGCAACAGGAGAAGAGGAGAGUCUGGUCUGACUCAGUAUGGAGGAGGGAGCAAAAGGAGAAGAGGAGAGUCUGGUCUGACUCGGUAUGGAGGAGGGAGCAACAGGAGAAGAGGAGAGUCUGGUCUGACUCAGUAUGGAGGAGGGAGCAACAGGAGAAGAGGAGAGUCUGGUCUGACUCACUGUGGAGGAGGGAGCAA